CCUACGGGUGGCAGCAGUGGGGAAUAUUGGGCAAUGGAGGCAACCCUGACCCAGCAACGCCGCGUGAAGGAAGAAGGUUUUCGGUUUGUAAAGUUCUUUUGUAAGGGAAGAAGCAAGUGACGGUACCUGAGGAAUAAGCCUCGGCUAACUCCGUGCCAGCAGCCGCGGUAAUACGUAGGUGGCAAGCGUUAUCCGGAUUGACUGGGGGUAAAGGGGGGGUAGGCGGGACUGCAAGUCAGAUGUGAAACCCACGGGCUCAACCUGUGGACUGCAUGUGAAACUGUAGUGCUGGAGUACAGGAGAGGCAGACGGAAUGCCUAGUGUAGCGGUGAAAUGCGUAGAUAUUAGGAGGAACACCAGUGGCGAAGGCGGGCUGCUGGACAGCAACUGACGCUGAGGCGCGAAAGCGUGGGGAGCAAACAGGAUUAGAUACCCCAGUAGUC
This 443-nucleotide ribosomal RNA is filed under the name uncultured bacterium. RNAcentral describes it as "partial 16S ribosomal RNA". It matches the Rfam family "Bacterial small subunit ribosomal RNA", at positions 338 to 795 of the family's 1533-position model. The record is from RNAcentral.